AUUGAACGCUGGCGGCAGGCCUAACACAUGCAAGUCGAGCGGAUGAAGGGAGCUUGCUCCUGGAUUCAGCGGCGGACGGGCGAGUAAUGCCUAGGAAUCUGCCUGGUAGUGGGGGAUAACGUCCGGAAACGGGCGCUAAUACCGCAUACGUCCUGAGGGAGAAAGGGGGGGAUCUUCGGACCUCACGCUAUCAGAUGAGCCUAGGUCGGAUUAGCUAGUUGGUGGGGUAAAGGCCUACCAAGGCGACGAUCCGUAACUGGUCUGAGAGGAUGAUCAGUCACCCUGGAACUGAGCCACGGUCCAGACUCCUACGGGAGGCAGCAGUGGGGAAUAUUGGAUAAUGGGCGAAAGCCUGAUCCAGCCAUGCCGCGUGUGUGAAGAAGGUCUUCGGAUUGUAAAGCACUUUUAGUUGGGAGGAAGGGCAGUAAGUUAAUACCUUGCUGUUUUGACGUUACCAACAGAAUAAGCACCGGCUAACUUCGUG
This 484-nucleotide ribosomal RNA is filed under the name uncultured bacterium. Its description in RNAcentral is "partial 16S ribosomal RNA". It matches the Rfam family "Bacterial small subunit ribosomal RNA", at positions 30 to 507 of the family's 1533-position model. The record is from RNAcentral.